AGUGAACGCUGGCGGUAGGCCUAACACAUGCAAGUCGAACGGCAGCACAGUAAGAGCUUGCUCUUACGGGUGGCGAGUGGCGGACGGGUGAGGAUUACAUCGGAAUCUACUUUUUCGUGGGGGAUAACGUAGGGAAACUUACGCUAAUACCGCAUACUACCUACGGGUGAAAGCAGGGGAUCUUCGGACCUUGCGCGAUUGAAUGAGCCGAUGUCGGAUUAGCUAGUUGGCGGGGUAAAGGCCCACCAAGGCGACGAUCCGUAGCUGGUCUGAGAGGAUGAUCAGCCACACUGGAACUGAGACACGGUCCAGACUCCUACGGGAGGCAGCAGUGGGGAAUAUUGGACAAUGGGCGCAAGCCUGAUCCAGCCAUACCGCGUGGGUGAAGAAGGCCUUCGGGUUGUAAAGCCCUUUUGUUGGGAAAGAAAAGCAGCAGGUUAAUACCCCGCUGUUCUGACGGUACCCAAAGAAUAAGCACCGGCUAACUUCGUG
This 492-nucleotide ribosomal RNA is filed under the name uncultured bacterium. Its description in RNAcentral is "partial 16S ribosomal RNA". It matches the Rfam family "Bacterial small subunit ribosomal RNA", at positions 29 to 507 of the family's 1533-position model. The record is from RNAcentral.